This 550-nucleotide ribosomal RNA is filed under the name uncultured bacterium. RNAcentral's name for it is "bacterial SSU rRNA". It matches the Rfam family "Archaeal small subunit ribosomal RNA", at positions 728 to 1276 of the family's 1478-position model. The record is from RNAcentral.
AAUAGAUACCCCGGUAGUCCUAGCCGUAAACGAUACUCGCUAGGUGUCGGCCACGGUGCGACCGUGGUCGGUGCCGUAGGGAAGCCGUGAAGCGAGCCACCUGGGAAGUACGGCCGCAAGGCUGAAACUUAAAGGAAUUGGCGGGGGAGCACUACAACGGGUGGAGCCUGCGGUUUAAUUGGAUCCAACGCCGGAAAUCUUACCGGGACCGACAGCAAUAUGAAGGCCAGGCUGAAGACUUUGCCGGAUUAGCUGAGAGGUGGUGCAUGGCCGUCGUCAGUUCGUACUGUGAAGCAUCCUGUUAAGUCAGGCAACGAGCGAGACCCACGCCCACAGUUGCCAGCGUACUCUCCGGAGUGACGGGUACACUGUGGGGACCGCCGCUGCUAAAGCGGAGGAAGGAAUGGGCAACGGUAGGUCAGUAUGCCCCGAAUAUCCCGGGCUACACGCGGGCUACAAUGGUUGGUACAAUGGGUAUCUACCCCGAAAGGGGAUGGAAAUCUCCUAAAGCCAAUCUUAGUCCGGAUUGAGGGCUGCAACUCACCCGUCA